UUUAAAAACAAAAUUAUUAAUUUAAAACUGGUCAGCCAGAGUCUAUGAUCACAACUCCGUCCAUGGCAACGGUCUGUUAUACUUAUUAACAGUCUGUUAUACAGAA
Etheostoma spectabile (orangethroat darter) is the source of this 106-nucleotide long non-coding RNA. RefSeq lists it as uncharacterized. The record is from RefSeq and is a predicted model, not a curated record. NCBI's taxonomy places the organism in Eukaryota, Metazoa, Chordata, Actinopteri, Perciformes, Percidae. The transcript has 3 exons.